UCUUUUAAGAUCUGUUAUUAAUAUCUAUUUAAAACUAUUAUUAGCCGUAAAAUAUACGGACCUUAUACAUUCUUAAUUCUUAGUGAAUACUGAGAAAGAUUUCUCUCACAUAGUAUCAGCGCCCGUCUUUAUGAAUUUAUUUGGGCCCUUUGUUAUCAGUCUUCUCUGCAAUCUUGUUCGCGCCUUCUCGCUUGUCUCAUCUAUAUUACGGUAUCUCUUCUCUCUUGGUCUCUUCUUUCUCGGUCUCCCUCUAAUCUGUCUCUCUCAAGAUCUCUGUAUUUCUCUAAGCAGAUCUGAUAUAUGUUUUCUCUCUCUUUCUAUGUCUCAUAUCUCUUCUCCCUCUACUGAUCUCUCGAUCUUCUCACGCUACGUUCUCUCUCUAGAUAAACUCAUUUCUCUCUCUAGAUAAACUCAAGGCCCAAAGUCAAGCAGUAGCUUUUGGUAUCAAUAGAAACACUAUUAAUCCUCAGCAACCGAAGAGGACUUGCAAAAACUCUCCAAUCAGAGGUCGUUGAAUCGAAGAUUUGGAACUCAUCCUCUAAUGCCAAAACCAUAGCAGCUAAUUGCCGGAUCAACAAACUCUCUCUUUGCACAAAUUUACAUCAAAUCUCAAGUUUUCCAGCAAAAGCCCCUUCACCCCAAGCCCCUUUUCACUAUUCGUCACAGGCUCUGUUCUUCUUCGGCACUGUUACGAAUCUUCUUUGAUUUCCCUAAAAUCUGAUUCGAAAUUGCCCCUUUACACUCCAGCAUCUGCGGACUCUGCUGCCUCUACGAUUUGUGCAUCAGGUUUUCCCACCAUUCUUCUGUGGCUUUCUCUACAUGAGUUUUCUCUCACUAAAAGUAAAGUGAGGAUUCAUCCGCAUAUUUGUUCUGUCUCUGCAUACUAGUUUUCUCCCACGAAAAGUAAAGUGAGGUUUGCUUUGAAAAAUGAGUUGGUGUUCCAUAUUUUUUUUUGAUGGUCCACUUUGGUUAUUUGGACUUGCAUCUUUGGUGAUUAAUAUUGUUUCUUGUUCGACCCAAUAAAAAAAAAAA
This 1032-nucleotide long non-coding RNA is filed under the name Amborella trichopoda. RNAcentral describes it as "long non-coding RNA (ATRI_LNC004255)". Lineage: Eukaryota; Viridiplantae; Streptophyta; Magnoliopsida; Amborellales; Amborellaceae. The record is from RNAcentral.